CCUGACUGCUAUCGGAUUGAUACUAAGCCAUGCGAGUCUUUGCAGUAAUGCAAGGCAUACGGCUCAGUAACACGUAGUCAACUUACCCUAUGGACGAGGAUAAUCUCGGGAAACUGAGCAUAAUACUCGAUAGAUCAUAAUGCCUGGAAUGGUUUAUGGUUAAAAUGAUUCGUCGCCAUAGGAUGGGACUGCGGCCUAUCAGCUUGUUGGUGAGGUAAUGGCCCACCAAGGCGAUUACAGGUACGGGCUCUGAGAGGAGAAGCCCGGAGAUGGGUACUGAGACAAGGACCCAGGCCCUAUGGGGCGCAGCAGGCGAGAAAACUUUGCAAUGUGCGAAAGCACGACAAGGUUAGUCCGAGUGAUUUCUGCUAAAGAGAUCUUUUGCUAGUUAUAAAACCACUAGUGAAUAAGGGGUGGGCAAGUUCUGGUGUCAGCCGCCGCGGUAAAACCAGCACCUCAAGUGGUCAGGAUGAUUAUUGGGCCUAAAGCAUCCGUAGCCGGCUCUGUAAGUUUUCGGUUAAAUCUAUGCGCUCAACGUAUGGGCUGCCGAAAAUACUGUAGAGAUAGGGAGUGGGAGAGGUAGACGGUACUCGGUAGGAAGGGGUAAAAUCCUUUGAUCUAUCGAUGACCACCUGUGGCGAAGGCGGUCUACCAGAACACGUUCGACGGUGAGGGAUGAAAGCUGGGGGAGCAAACCGGAUUAGAUACCCGGGUAGUCCCAGCUGUAAACGAUGCAGACUCGAUGAUGCAUUGGCAUAUAGCCAGUGCAGUGUCGCAGGGAAGCCGUUAAGUCUGCCGCCUGGGAAGUACGUACGCAAGUAUGAAACUUAAAGGAAUUGGCGGGGGAGCACCACAAGGGGUGAAGCCUGCGGUUC
RNAcentral lists this ribosomal RNA (875 nucleotides) under uncultured archaeon. Its description in RNAcentral is "bacterial SSU rRNA". It matches the Rfam family "Archaeal small subunit ribosomal RNA", at positions 21 to 903 of the family's 1478-position model. The record is from RNAcentral.